CCUACGGGUGGCUGCAGUGGGGAAUAUUGCACAAUGGGGGAAACCCUGAUGCAGCGACGCCGCGUGAAGGAUGAAGUAUUUCGGUAUGUAAACUUCUAUCAGCAGGGAAGAAAAUGACGGUACCUGACUCAUAAGCCCCGGCGAACUACGUGCCAGCAGCCGCGGUAAUACGGAGGGGGCAAGCUUUAUCCGGAUUUACUGGGUGUAAAGGGAGCGUAGACGGCAUGGCAAGUCUGAUGUGAAAACCCGGGGCUCAACCCGGGUAGUGCAUUGGAAACUGUGAGGCUAGAGUGUCGGAGAGGCGAGUGGAAUUCCAUGUGUAGCGGUGAAAUGCGUAGAUAUUAGGAGGAACACCAGUGGCGAAGGCGGCUUGCUGGACGAUGACUGACGUUGAGGUUCGAAAGCGUGGGGAGCAAACAGGAUUAGAUACCCUUGUAGUC
This 440-nucleotide ribosomal RNA is filed under the name uncultured bacterium. Its description in RNAcentral is "partial 16S ribosomal RNA". It matches the Rfam family "Bacterial small subunit ribosomal RNA", at positions 338 to 795 of the family's 1533-position model. The record is from RNAcentral.